AGGACAAACGCUGGCGGCGUGCGUAACACAUGCAAGUCGAACGCUCUGGUCUCUUUCGGGAGAGCAGGGAGUGGCGGACGGGUGAGGAACACGUGGGAACCUGCCCUUUAGUGAGGAAUACCGGCGAGAAAUCGCCGACAAGACCGCAUAGCCCUCUUUGAUGAGAGUCAAAGAAGGAAAGCUUCGCAAGAGGCGCUAGAGGAGGGGCCUGCGUCCGAUUAGCUAGUUGGUGGGGUAAGAGCCUACCAAGGCGUCGAUCGGUAGCUGGUCUGAGAGGACGAUCAGCCACACUGGGAUUGAGAACGGCCCAGACUCCUACGGGGGGCAGCAGUGAGGAAUUUUCGGCAAUGGGGGAAACCCUGACCGAGCAACGCCGCGUGCAGGAAGACGGCCUUCGGGUUGUAAACUGCUUUUCUUUGGGACGAGGAGGACGGUACCAGAGGAAUCAGCCCCGGCUCACUACGUGCCAGCAGCCGC
Molecule: ribosomal RNA, 477 nt
Filed under: uncultured bacterium
Lineage: Bacteria
Description: SSU rRNA
Rfam family: Bacterial small subunit ribosomal RNA
Source: RNAcentral